ACAACCAAAGUGCCCAAUCAAACGGCACGGGAAAUUGGACGCACCUGAGGAGCAUUAGGACUGCACGUUUAAAAUGAGUAACAAAAGAAGGAGUGAGACAGACAGGGGCGAGAGGAGGAAGGAUUGACAGAGGGAAACGACAGGCUUGGACGACAGGAGAAAGAGGACGGCAGAAUUCGGCAGGUUCUGGCCGGAACGGAGAGGAAUCAACAGGCUUUGCCAAGGGCGACCGAGUGAACGCACGCAGGCUGGGAAGGCACCCCCGGACCACGCCGUAUACCCUGCAGGCUACCGGAACGAACCCCAAGACGUCCACAACAGGCAGGGGCAGAGGAAACUCUGCCGCCCAAGGGGCGAUUUGGACCCAGAGACCUGCGGAGACCCCCGGAGUGACCAGGAGGCGGAGCGGGACGGGUACGGCCACGUGGGUCCCGCUAGUGACCGAGAUUGGCGAGGAGAGUGGGCGUACCCAAGUCGUUGACGCGGAACUCCAGCAGAGGCAGGGGAAACCCUGCCCUGUGUGAGGAUGCCUUGGAAGGGGGCGGAGCCAAGAUACCCACAUGCCUGUUGGCCCCUCGCCUAUCACAUUUGUACCAUCUGGUAUUUUAGUAUCAACAAAGUGAGUGUUUUUUUUUUUAUUGUAUUUUAAUAAAUUGUGAACCGGUUAA
Long non-coding RNA from Nerophis ophidion (straightnose pipefish), 668 nucleotides. RefSeq lists it as uncharacterized. Lineage: Eukaryota; Metazoa; Chordata; Actinopteri; Syngnathiformes; Syngnathidae. The record is from RefSeq and is a predicted model, not a curated record. The transcript has 2 exons.